RNAcentral lists this small nucleolar RNA (66 nucleotides) under Mesocricetus auratus (golden hamster). Its description in RNAcentral is "Small nucleolar RNA SNORD109A". It matches the Rfam family "Small nucleolar RNA SNORD109A". From Rfam's summary of the family: Humans have two copies of the SNORD109 gene, SNORD109A and SNORD109B. The record is from Rfam by way of RNAcentral. Lineage: Eukaryota; Metazoa; Chordata; Mammalia; Rodentia; Cricetidae.
GGAUCGAUGAUGACAACAAGUCUCUGAGGACGGUGAUCAAGUCGUAACUAUGCCAAUCUGAGCUCC